Molecule: ribosomal RNA, 253 nt
Filed under: uncultured bacterium
Lineage: Bacteria
Description: partial 16S ribosomal RNA
Rfam family: Bacterial small subunit ribosomal RNA
Source: RNAcentral
UACGGGGGGGGCAAGCGUUGUUCGGAAUUACUGGGCGUAAAGGGCUCGUAGGCGGCCAACUAAGUCAUACGUGAAAUCCCUCGGCUUAACCGGGGAACUGCGUCUGAUACUGGAUGGCUUGAGUUCGGGAGAGGGAUGCGGAAUUCCAGGUGUAGCGGUGAAAUGCGUAGAUAUCUGGAGGAACACCGGUGGCGAAGGCGGCUACCUAGACAAUUGCUGACGCUCAGGCACGAAAGCGUGGGGAGCAAAAGGG